CCUACGGGAGGCUGCAGUGGGGAAUAUUGGACAAUGGGGGGAACCCUGAUCCAGCCAUGCCGCGUGUGUGAAGAAGGCCCUCGGGUUGUAAAGCACUUUCAGUGAGGAAGAACGCCUGGUGGUUAAUACCCAUCAGGAAAGACAUCACUCACAGAAGAAGCACCGGCUAACUCCGUGCCAGCAGCCGCGGUAAUACGGAGGGUGCGAGCGUUAAUCGGAAUUACUGGGCGUAAAGCGCGCGUAGGUGGCUUGAUAAGCCGGUUGUGAAAGCCCCGGGCUCAACCUGGGAACGGCAUCCGGAACUGUCAAGCUAGAGUGCAGGCGAGGAAGGUAGAAUUCCCGGUGUAGCGGUGAAAUGCGUAGAGAUCGGCAGGAAUACCAGUGGCGAAGGCGGCCUUCUGGACUGGCACUGACACUGAGGUGCGAAAGCGUGGGUAGCAAACAGGAUUAGAUACCCGUGUAGUC
RNAcentral lists this ribosomal RNA (465 nucleotides) under Vreelandella stevensii. Its description in RNAcentral is "partial 16S ribosomal RNA". It matches the Rfam family "Bacterial small subunit ribosomal RNA", at positions 338 to 795 of the family's 1533-position model. The record is from RNAcentral. Lineage: Bacteria; Pseudomonadati; Pseudomonadota; Gammaproteobacteria; Oceanospirillales; Halomonadaceae.